Molecule: ribosomal RNA, 338 nt
Filed under: uncultured bacterium
Lineage: Bacteria
Description: bacterial SSU rRNA
Rfam family: Bacterial small subunit ribosomal RNA
Source: RNAcentral
UAAUACCGGAUAUGACCAUGCUCGGCAUCGGGUGUGGUGGAAAGUUUUUCGGUCCAGGGAUGUGCUCGCGGCCUAUCAGCUUGUUGGUGGGGUAAUGGCCUACCAAGGCUUCGACGGGUAGCCGGCCUGAGAGGGUGACCGGCCACACUGGGACUGAGACACGGCCCAGACUCCUACGGGAGGCAGCAGUGGGGAAUAUUGGACAAUGGGCGGAAGCCUGAUCCAGCAACGCCGCGUGAGGGAUGACGGCCUUCGGGUUGUAAACCUCUUUCAGUACCGACGAAGCGCCGAUGAUGGUGGUGACGGUAGGUACAGAAGAAGCACCGGCCAACUACGUG